Non-coding RNA from Triticum urartu, 134 nucleotides. Lineage: Eukaryota; Viridiplantae; Streptophyta; Magnoliopsida; Poales; Poaceae. The record is from Rfam.
AAAGUACUCCCUCCAUACGAAAAUUCUGAUCUUAGAUUUUUCUAGAUACGGAUGUAUCAAGUCAUAUUUUAGUAUUAGAUACAUCCGUAUCUAGACAAAUCUAAGACAAGAAUUUGGGACAAAGGGAGUAGUUG